This 1647-nucleotide long non-coding RNA is filed under the name Anneissia japonica. RNAcentral's name for it is "uncharacterized LOC117113303, transcript variant X1". The record is from RNAcentral. Lineage: Eukaryota; Metazoa; Echinodermata; Crinoidea; Comatulida; Comatulidae.
UUUUAUAGUUUUGAUCCCAUGACAACCCAUCGACCUGUGAAAAUUCUCAUGUUUGCUCUGAAGAGGCAAUAAAAAAGAAUAAAGUUCCAACUAGAACAAUGCUCCCAGAAAGGCUCAAAUACUUUUACACAUCUGGCUUGUGUGCAAUUUAAAGAACCUGAUGCAUCUUUUGGAAGAAUUUCACCCUGGCAGCUGGGCCAGGUAUCCCAACGAUAGGGUCCAGACCUGAAACAAAAUCUUAAAAAAGUGUCCUUUCAUACAUAUUGGUGAGCUCCAUGAAACCUUACAUGUGACCAGCUCCAGCAAAAACAGCCAUUUGUAGGAAAAAUUCAGAAACAAGUUGAAAGAAAUUUUAAGCAAGCAAUACAAUACCUGCAUGUUUCAACGUACUGUAGAUGAUGCUCAUAAAAUCAAGGAAAUGCUUCUACAGUUGAUGUUGUGUUUGAGCACUAUCAUAACCAUCACGAAUGAGUCAAAAUGGAGUUGGAAAGCUGUGCUAAUGCUGCUCCUGCUUGUCCUCUUGUUAUGUGAGAAUUAACUUGCAGUAAGUAUGGUGCAUCCCAAGGCAAACAGUGCUAUUUAUGAAAGACGAAAUGCUUAGUGACAGGCAAAAUGCUUGGUGGCGGAGGAAAUGGUUGGUGACAGAAGACACACUUGGUCACAGAGAAAAUUACAUGUCAAAAAGGAAAUUCCAGGUGACAGAGGAAAUUCCAGGUAACAAUGAUGAUUAAACAACGUUUUAAAGGACAGAAUGCACAUAGCAAUGAUUUUUUUUUAACAAACCCUUUCUGUUUACCAUACAUUUUGCAUCUAAAGAUGAUCUUUUAGAGGGUUCAUUAGUGACAUUUAUUCAAUUUUGUAUAUCAUUUAAAACUCCAUUUUGCUACAUAUUCUAUUAAUAUAUAUGGCCUACAUUAUUCUGACGUAUACACUAUCACUCUCACAAAAUUUCUGGCAAAGUGAAGAGAAUGUACAGGUACUGAUUUUUGUCAACUAGAGACACAAACUUACUGGAACUUUGUACAUAUAUACACUAAGUACAAUUUUGUUAGUCACUUGCAAUCAAGUUGUUAUGUACUUUUUUUAGCUGAAGAGAAUGAAACAUUCUCAGUAAAUAAAUAUUGCAUUCAGUCCAACAGACAGUCAUAUACUCACCUUGUAAAGACUACACUGCGAAAUUAAAAAUUAAGAAGGGGCAACAUAUACAGAAGUUGAAAACACUAUAAUUUGAGAUUGGAAACCUAAUCUCCGACAACUUGAUCUAGACACAUUUCUCUAGGGUACCGAAGGCUUUCUGCUGCCUUUUCGAGUUGUACUAAUUAUUGCAGUAACUAUUGCAUUCAUUUCCAUAUAAUUUCAUGCAAUAAACAUUUGGUGUUCGCACAACUGUGAAUGUGACGGUGGAUAAAAUCUGGGAUGAAUUAUAUGCAUUUGUGAUGGUGGAAUGCUGUAUUCAAAUGAACAGGUACUUGCCAAAAAACAAGACAAAUUGCUUUUUAUGGUAAAAAGAUGAAAAAAUACAGUUGAAGUGGAACUGAUGGUUCGGGUGUUAGUGUCUUCUAAGGAAGAGGUUAGUACACUCUACGAUGGGGCAGUUUGAUAGGAUUUUAAUUUAAAAAAAAAAUAACAGCACACUACACCAGGCAU